Long non-coding RNA from Callithrix jacchus (white-tufted-ear marmoset), 1019 nucleotides. RefSeq lists it as uncharacterized. The record is from RefSeq and is a predicted model, not a curated record. NCBI's taxonomy places the organism in Eukaryota, Metazoa, Chordata, Mammalia, Primates, Cebidae.
UCUGAGCGGCGCGGCCAUUUUCCUCUUCUUCCCGGCUGGUCCGCCCGGAGGCUCUUUCCUCUCAAUAAAGCCUGAACUUAAGACUUUCUUCUAACCUGCGGCCCGGUUUUUUCCCGAACGAGCUCAGUCCUCCCGCAGAGGUGAUGGAGCCUUGCUGUGCUGACCAUGCUGAAAUGCAGUGGCUGUUCACAGGCAGAAUCACAGCGUACACCAACCUCCAAUUCCUGGGCUCAAGUGAUCUUCCUGCCUCAGCUCCUGAGUAGGUGGGACUACAGGCCUUGCCCCCGCACCGGUGCCCUGACUCCUCCUGCACACCUGCCCCCGCCGCCUCAGCUCACCUGUGCCUGGAGGGUUGUUUCCUGAUUGCUCCGUGACUGUGAACCUGGGCAACUUGCUUCUCUGCCAUCCAGUGGGCUGCAACCAUACCUUCUCCAAAGAGACCUGCACCUCAGUCUUUGAAGAGAGCCUUGCCCCUAAGUCCCCAGAGUAACUUUUCCAAGAGACUUCGGUGGAAAUUGCAAGGCUGUUUUUGACCUAGCCCUGGAACUUAUUCAGCAUCACUUCCACUGUAUUUCACAGUGAGGCGUCAACUGUGAUUCAACAUCUGAGAGAACUGUAAGGAAGAGUUUCUUAGAACAAACCCGAUACAUAGGAAACAGUAGAUGUUGGUCAUUGUUGCCAUUCAAGAUGUGAUUGGCCACUCUGUGGAGGCAUCCCUGGCCUUUCAAGCUGUGUUUCUCAAACAUGCUCUGUGGACACAGGUUGGUGGUGGAGUCUGCGUUCUUGGAAGGUGCAGGCCUGGAUCCAGGGUGAUCGGUAGAGAGGAGGAGCUGUGACGAGCCUGAUGAGAUGAGGCACCUGGGGACAGGUGACCCCAGGGGCUGCUGCUUGCAGUCGAGAGCUUCUGAGGAAAGACAUCCGAGACAACAGGGUGACUGCUGGGACUGUGGGCAAAGCAUGAGCUCAGUGCUCUCUUCCACUGACUUAGGCAACCCUGAAGGUCGCUGAAUAAAAUCUAA